CGCCGCAACAGCAGGUCGCCGGCGGCUGCCAACCCCCCCUCUCUCUAACCCAUCCCCCCUCUCUACCUCCCACUGUACCCUGCAAACCCUAGGUUCCCUGCCGCCAUGGAUGGUAGCUGGUCGCCGGUCUUCGUCAGCUCACCUGACGACUCCUCCCCUACCCGGAUCUGCGCGCUCAAGAGUCGUGGUCAUCUUCCCUGCCCGCACCUCUACCCCUGGCCACGCGCACUUCCUGGGGGCGGCUCGACUGGGCCUAGCUCCGCUGCGCUGCUUCCGCGGCGUCAUCUUUGACAAGGACAAUACACUCAUGCCCCUGUGUUCUCGCCGCCACGUUCGACCAGUGCCACACAGUGUUCUCGUCCGGCGCCGUCGCCAUCUACAACAACUUCACAGGGAUGAAGGAGUACGAUCUGGAUGGUGUGGAUGCGACGAGGUGAGGCGGCCAUGGAGGGUGUUCAUGUGAUCAGGCAUGACAAGUGCAGACUCACUGUCACACGACCAAUAGUCUUAAUAGUUCAUACAAUCAUAACUGAUCAUACUAAUUUGGUUCGAUUUAUUGGUUAAUCCACAUUAAUUCUGGUAUUGUGUGGAAAUGGGUUUGUUCAUGGUAAUGACUUAAUGGGUACAUUGCAAACUGUAGGAGUCUGAUAUUUGCAUUAUUUAUGGAACUUGUUAAUAUCUUCUGCAAUAUAGAUUUCAUCAUUAACCCACUGUUUUGCCUCGUUACUUUGUUCGAUAGUUUCAUUUUGUAUGGAGAUAUUGGGCACUGAAAUUCACCUCACAAUUUGUUUAACGUUUCUUCUGUAAUUGGAUUUAACUAUAUGUAGAGAAUAUAAUGCAUCUAUGCAUUCUUUUUCACAUCAUCAUAAGCAUUUCAGUACUUUGCAAUAGGCAUUUUUGUCAAAAUAAGGAAGCAUUUUCAGUACUUUACUAUAGAGAAUUAUAUCAAUUACUAGAAGCAUUUU
Long non-coding RNA from Panicum virgatum (switchgrass), 965 nucleotides. RefSeq lists it as uncharacterized. The record is from RefSeq and is a predicted model, not a curated record. The transcript has 2 exons. Lineage: Eukaryota; Viridiplantae; Streptophyta; Magnoliopsida; Poales; Poaceae.